AGGGAUCAUACCCUUCUUUUGUAUUGGAGAAAUAUAUCAACUCAAACACUUCUGAGUAUAGUAUUAAUUUUAUUUCCAGUUGGUGCAUACUUGGGUCCUGUAAAGAAGGCAAUAUACAUCUACAGAACUCAAAAUCGUCAAAGAGCAGCAGGGCAUUCCCUGAUAAAUAGGAAAAAUGGGAGCUGCAAAACCAACAGUUCCUACCAUAUUUAAUCUUUCAUUCAAAAAGUGGUGAGCCCUUAUGGUUGCAAGGAGGGCACUCUAAAUACAGCUGCUCUGGUGCCUUGAGGCAAGUAGGCAGUACCAGCACUACUCUGCUUGCAGCAGCAGCACAAAACAAGGUCAGUUAGUAUCACUGCAGUUGCUCAACCAUCUAAGCAGUGGAGGCAAAUAAUUGGGUCCUUCUUGGUGGAAGGGCCCCAAAAAAAUUAACAGCAGAAUUCUACCUUCUUUAAAAAACAUCAACUUUAGAGCAGGAAGGAGGCUCUGGAAACAGAAGAAACCAAGCUUCCCAUAAAUAGAGGUGGAAGAUCUUAUCCAGAGGUUGAUCCAAAAAUGGAACCCCAAGAAGGGUCCAGGGACUGCUUUCUGGUAGCAGUUGAACUCUUCUCCUGCAGUCAGAAAACAGAUUAACUAGAAACAUGUCAGUGACACACCGUUAUUCAGUGUAUUGCUUUUUUUUGGUGUGUGGUUGAUUUAUACAGGGGGAAUAAAGCCUUGGUAGUUGUAAUUCAUGGAAGUAGGUUUAGUUCUGCUAAUUCCAAUCUAAAUUGCUUUGUCUUCCUAAAUGCAACUACACUUACACAGUGCUGUUG
This is a long non-coding RNA of Dermochelys coriacea (leatherback sea turtle), 815 nucleotides long. RefSeq lists it as uncharacterized. The transcript has 3 exons. The record is from RefSeq and is a predicted model, not a curated record. NCBI's taxonomy places the organism in Eukaryota, Metazoa, Chordata, Testudines, Dermochelyidae.